UACGGCCACAUCACGUUGAAAUACUAGUUCCCAUACGAUGACCGAAGUUAAACAACGUUGCGCCUGGUCAGUACCUAGAGGGGUGACCGUUUGCGAAUACGAGUCGCUGUAA
Acanthosepion pharaonis is the source of this 112-nucleotide non-coding RNA. The record is from the annotation of a GenBank genome assembly. Lineage: Eukaryota; Metazoa; Mollusca; Cephalopoda; Sepiida; Sepiidae.